This 542-nucleotide ribosomal RNA is filed under the name Aspergillus flavipes. Its description in RNAcentral is "eukaryotic LSU rRNA". It matches the Rfam family "Eukaryotic large subunit ribosomal RNA", at positions 74 to 631 of the family's 3401-position model. The record is from RNAcentral. Lineage: Eukaryota; Fungi; Ascomycota; Eurotiomycetes; Eurotiales; Aspergillaceae.
AUUGCCUCAGUAACGGCGAGUGAAGCGGCAAGAGCUCAAAUUUGAAAGCUGGCCCCUCCGGGGUCCGCAUUGUAAUUUGCAGAGGAUGCUUCGGGUGCAGCCCCCGUCUAAGUGCCCUGGAAUGGGCCGUCAGAGAGGGUGAGAAUCCCGUCUGGGAUGGGGUGCCUGUGCCCGUGUGAAGCUCCUUCGACGAGUCGAGUUGUUUGGGAAUGCAGCUCUAAAUGGGUGGUAAAUUUCAUCUAAAGCUAAAUAUUGGCCGGAGACCGAUAGCGCACAAGUAGAGUGAUCGAAAGAUGAAAAGCACUUUGAAAAGAGAGUUAAACAGCACGUGAAAUUGUUGAAAGGGAAGCGCUUGCGACCAGACUCGCCUCCGGGGUUCAGCCGGCAUUCGUGCCGGUGUACUUCCCCGGGGGCGGGCCAGCGUCGGUUUGGGCGGCCGGUCAAAGGCCUCCGGAAUGUAGCGCCCUUCGGGGCGCCUUAUAGCCGGGGGUGCAAUGCGGCCAGCCUGGACCGAGGAACGCGCUUCGGCUCGGACGCUGGCA